Molecule: ribosomal RNA, 681 nt
Filed under: uncultured bacterium
Lineage: Bacteria
Description: bacterial SSU rRNA
Rfam family: Bacterial small subunit ribosomal RNA
Source: RNAcentral
GAACGGGUGAGUAACACGUGGGUGAUCUGCCCUGCACUCUGGGAUAAGCCUGGGAAACUGGGUCUAAUACCGGAUAGGACCACACACUUCAUGGUGAGUGGUGCAAAGCUUUUGCGGUGUGGGAUGAGCCCGCGGCCUAUCAGCUUGUUGGUGGGGUAAUGGCCCACCAAGGCGACGACGGGUAGCCGGCCUGAGAGGGUGACCGGCCACACUGGGACUGAGAUACGGCCCAGACUCCUACGGGAGGCAGCAGUGGGGAAUAUUGCACAAUGGGCGCAAGCCUGAUGCAGCGACGCCGCGUGAGGGAUGACGGCCUUCGGGUUGUAAACCUCUUUCAGUAGGGACGAAGCGAAAGUGACGGUACCUACAGAAGAAGGACCGGCCAACUACGUGCCAGCAGCCGCGGUAAUACGUAGGGUCCGAGCGUUGUCCGGAAUUACUGGGCGUAAAGAGCUCGUAGGUGGUUUGUCGCGUUGUUCGUGAAAACUCACAGCUUAACUGUGGGCGUGCGGGCGAUACGGGCAGACUAGAGUACUGCAGGGGAGACUGGAAUUCCUGGUGUAGCGGUGGAAUGCGCAGAUAUCAGGAGGAACACCGGUGGCGAAGGCGGGUCUCUGGGCAGUAACUGACGCUGAGGAGCGAAAGCGUGGGUAGCGAACAGGAUUAGAUACCCUGGUAGUC